UAGCUCAGUUGGUAGAGUGCUUGCCUUGCAUGCACAAGGCCCUGGGUUCAAACCCCAG
Molecule: transfer RNA, 58 nt
Filed under: Sciurus carolinensis (gray squirrel)
Lineage: Eukaryota; Metazoa; Chordata; Mammalia; Rodentia; Sciuridae
Also listed under: 1 other name
Rfam family: tRNA
About the family: Transfer RNA (tRNA) molecules are approximately 80 nucleotides in length. Their secondary structure includes four short double-helical elements and three loops (D, anti-codon, and T loops).
Source: Rfam by way of RNAcentral